UUGGAAGCAGCCAUUCAUUUAAAGAGUGCGUAACAGCUCACUAGUCGAGGAGUUCUGCGUGGAUAAUAAUCGGGCAUAAGCCGUUUACCGAAGCUGUGGAAUUGGCAACAAUUGGUAGGGGAGCAUUCCAUGAGCCGCAGAAGGUUUUCCUUGAGGAAUGCUGGAGGUAAUGGAAAAGCAAAUGUAGGUAUAAGUAACGAUAAAGAGGGCGAGAACCCCUCUCGCCGAAAGACCAAGGGUUCCUGAUCAACGCUAAUCGGAUCAGGGUAAGUCGGGCCCUAAGGCCAAGCCGAACGGCGCAGCCGAUGGCAGAAACGGUUAAUAUUCCGUUACUAUGAUACGGAGUGACGAGGAGACGGAGAAGUGACACUCUCGCCUGCUGACGGAAUAGCAGGUUGAACGGAGUAGAUAAUGACAUGGUAGGCAAAUCCGCCGUGACAGUCGAACCGGAUAGUACUGGGCGCCCCCGGGCAACCAGAUAGUAGAGGUAAUCAGGCUCCCGAGAAAAUCCCCUAAACAUAUGCGUAUCAUACCCGUACCCUAAACGGACACACGUGGUUGAGUAGAAAAUACUAAGGCGCUCGAGCGACUCACGGUUAAGGAACUAGGCAAAUUGACCCUGUAACUUCGGGAUAAAGGGUCCCUCCCUGGUGGGAGGGCGCAGAGAAUAGGUCCAGGCAACUGUUUAACAAAAACACAGGGCUGUGCGAAAUUGAAAGAUGAAGUAUACAGCCUGACACCUGCCCGGUGCUGGAAGGUUAAGAGGAGAUGUCAUCGCAAGAGAAGCAUUGAAUUGAAGCCCCAGUAAACGGCGGCCGUAACUAUAACGGUCCUAAGGUAGCGAAAUUCCUUGUCGGGUAAGUUCCGACCUGCACGAAUGGUGUAAUGAUCUGGACACUGUCUCAACCGUGAGCUCGGUGAAAUUGUAGUAUCGGUGAAGAUGCCGAUUACCCGCAACGGGACGGAAAGACCCCGUGAACCUUUACUGCAACUUAACAUUGAAUUUGGGUAACUGAUGUGUAGGAUAGUCCGGAGACAGAGAAGUGGAUACGCCAGUAUUCAUGGAGUCGCCCUUGAAAUACGGACCUUUGGUUAUUUGAGUUCUAACCCGUAGGAUAUGGGGACACUGUUUGGUGGGUAGUUUGACUGGGGUGGUCGCCUCCAAAAGCGUAA
This 1173-nucleotide ribosomal RNA is filed under the name human gut metagenome. RNAcentral's name for it is "bacterial LSU rRNA". It matches the Rfam family "Bacterial large subunit ribosomal RNA", at positions 1106 to 2300 of the family's 2925-position model. The record is from RNAcentral.